CCUACGGGAGGCAGCAGUAGGGAAUCUUCCACAAUGGGCGAAAGCCUGAUGGAGCAACGCCGCGUGAGUGAUGAAGGCCUUCGGGUUGUAAAACUCUGUCAUUCGGGACGAACCGGAGUCUGAGGAAAUGCAGACUCUCUGACGGUACCGGAGGAGGAAGCCCCGGCUAACUACGUGCCAGCAGCCGCGGUAAUACGUAGGGGGCAAGCGUUGUCCGGAUUCACUGGGCGUAAAGCGCGCGCAGGCGGUGAUGUAAGUCUGAGGUGAAAACCCGAAGCUCAACUUCGGGACUGCCUUGGAUACUGCGUCACUUGAGGAUAGGAGAGGCAAGGGGAAUUCCACGUGUAGCGGUGAAAUGCGUAGAGAUGUGGAGGAACACCUGUGGCGAAGGCGCCUUGCUGGCCUAUUUCUGACGCUGAGGCGCGAAAGCGUGGGGAGCAAACAGGAUUAGAUACCCUGGUAGUCCACGCUGUAAACGAUGAGUGCUAGGUGUAGGUGGGCUCAUACCCAUCUGUGCCGAAGCUAACGCAUUAAGCACUCCGCCCUGGGGAGUACGGUCGCGAGACUGAAACUCAAAGUAGUAGUUAGGCGUUGNGGAGUUGCGACGACGGCACGACGGGAGGGAGU
This 627-nucleotide ribosomal RNA is filed under the name uncultured bacterium. Its description in RNAcentral is "bacterial SSU rRNA". It matches the Rfam family "Bacterial small subunit ribosomal RNA", at positions 338 to 960 of the family's 1533-position model. The record is from RNAcentral.